Long non-coding RNA from Solea senegalensis (Senegalese sole), 1516 nucleotides. RefSeq lists it as uncharacterized. Lineage: Eukaryota; Metazoa; Chordata; Actinopteri; Pleuronectiformes; Soleidae. The record is from RefSeq and is a predicted model, not a curated record. The transcript is spliced from 3 exons.
UUGAAUUCAAACUGAACUUUCAAUGUCAGUUAUAAUAAUUGCAAGUUUAAGUUGCAUUGCUUUAUGUAACCAAAACUCGUGUUCAUGACCCAGUUGUUCAACAACCCUGGGACAGUUUUUGUAUCAUAUUACAAAAACUGUUGUCUUGUGUUGAGAAUUAAAGUUAGAUGCAAGAGAAGCGGGCAGCCCUUAUCUGCUCCUGGGGGAACAAAAGGGAUAGGAUGCCUUGCUCAGAGGCACCCCACACUCAAAGAAAUGAAACCCAGGUGCUGCAUUAAAUCGGGGGUGUAGUGGCACAGUGGUUAAGAACGGUACCCUGUCCGAGAAAGACCUCAUGGUCGCAAGUUCGACUCCACCCCUGGCUGAUUGUACUCAAUUCCAUUGUAAGUCGGUUUGGAUGAAAGUGUCUGCUAUAUGACACUAUGUAAUGUAAAGUAGUUAUUUCAACUGAAAUUGAAUAAUUGUGUGUUUUGGAUUCAAAUGAAGAAUGUCAAAGAGCAUGUACUCAACUUCAUUGUUUGUUGUAAUCAACAAACAAUAAUGAGUGUAAUUUAUGUAAGCAAGUUAAUUAAGAUGUACAUCAGGCCUAGGAGGGCGUUUCCCACUGGUACUUGCACAUGCUCAGUAAGAACAAGGCUGAAGGUGCCAUUUUCUGGACUUACUCUGCUGUCCUGCCACAUGUCUCGGAUUUCUUCAUAAUUCACGGCCAUCCAUCAAUAUCCAGGUAAGUUAAUGACUAAAUCAAAAAUGACAAACUAAAAUAUGCUUGUUUGAUACCAGUUGAUGAGUAUUUUUGACUUUGGACUGAUGGUAUAGGCUAUGGUAAGAUGAAAAAUAUAAAUAUUUUGCUAGCUUGACUCCUUUUUAGCUUUCCACUUUUGCUCAUCUAAAAUUAGUGAUUUGGUUAACCAUUAUUUUGUUGUUUGUAUAGCCUUUUAAUCAUUAACGUUUUACCUUAUUGUCAUUUGCAUUUGUGUAGGUUUUGUACAUUCUUAAAAAGCUGUGAAUUUCAGAUUUGCUGAGCGUGUUGGUUGACGGAUGCCAGGCCAGCAGCUUGGCUUUUAAGAUCUGACAGGUGUUCUCAUAUUUAAGAACUUUACAAAUGAAUGACCAAUAAUCUCUUUUCAUGUUUUUCUUUAGGUUAUGAAUGUGGGAGAUGCAGAAGCAAUGUGCUGAUACUCUAUCUACAAGGAUCUUGAUCCUGGUGCAAAGAGAGAAAUGGAGGAAAUGAUGAUUGGAGUAAGAUGGCUGUUCUCAGGUCUUUGGUGGGUUUUUGGGACUGUGUGCUUUCUCUCGCCGAUCCCAGGAUUACUGGAGAAAAGCAGUGGAAAAAGAGACACUAUGAAUUUGCUUCAUGGUGGAUGUUGAGUCAUGAUGAAGAUGCAGGAACAUGGUGAACAUUACUGUAGCUGCCGUCUCAUGUUCAAAGCAUUGUCUUGGACGUGCUGUGCUGUUUAAAAAAAGCAGGACUAUACUGGAGCGCUGAAGAUAAAAUGCCCCCGACUACACGUGUAAA